Non-coding RNA from Castor canadensis (American beaver), 345 nucleotides. The record is from RefSeq and is a predicted model, not a curated record. NCBI's taxonomy places the organism in Eukaryota, Metazoa, Chordata, Mammalia, Rodentia, Castoridae.
GGCUCGGGCUCAGCCGCCGCGCCGCCGGCUGCUCCUCCUUCCUCCCUGCGCGCCCGGGGCGAUGUUCAACCGCGCCGUGAGCCGGCUGAGCAGGAAGCGGCCGCCGUCAGACAUUCACGACAGUGAUGGUAGUUCAAGCAGCAGCCACCAGAGCCUCAGGAGCACAGCCAAGUGGGCGGCCUCCCUGGAGAAUCUGCUGGAAGACCCAGAAGGCGUGAAGAGAUUUAGGAUGCAUUAUUCCCAGUGAGAAAGGCCAAGUGGAAGUUGGGGAAGGAGCCUCUACAAGGAGGACUGACAGAUAGAGAAGUGUCGAUGCCACCUAGAAUAACUUCCGGCCAGCAGAAC